RNAcentral lists this transfer RNA (73 nucleotides) under Leifsonia sp. RNAcentral's name for it is "tRNA-Arg". It matches the Rfam family "tRNA". Rfam says of the family: Transfer RNA (tRNA) molecules are approximately 80 nucleotides in length. Their secondary structure includes four short double-helical elements and three loops (D, anti-codon, and T loops). The record is from RNAcentral. RNAcentral also lists the same sequence under 3 other names. Lineage: Bacteria; Bacillati; Actinomycetota; Actinomycetes; Micrococcales; Microbacteriaceae.
GCCUCCGUAGCUCAGGGGAUAGAGCGCCAGUUUCCGGUACUGAAGGUCGCAGGUUCGAUUCCUGUCGGGGGCG